This 512-nucleotide ribosomal RNA is filed under the name Serratia marcescens. Its description in RNAcentral is "bacterial SSU rRNA". It matches the Rfam family "Bacterial small subunit ribosomal RNA", at positions 20 to 521 of the family's 1533-position model. The record is from RNAcentral. Lineage: Bacteria; Pseudomonadati; Pseudomonadota; Gammaproteobacteria; Enterobacterales; Yersiniaceae.
UGGCUCAGAUUGAACGCUGGCGGCAGGCUUAACACAUGCAAGUCGAGCGGUAGCACAGGGGAGCUUGCUCCCCGGGUGACGAGCGGCGGACGGGUGAGUAAUGUCUGGGAAACUGCCUGAUGGAGGGGGAUAACUACUGGAAACGGUAGCUAAUACCGCAUAACGUCGCAAGACCAAAGAGGGGGACCUUCGGGCCUCUUGCCAUCAGAUGUGCCCAGAUGGGAUUAGCUAGUAGGUGGGGUAAUGGCUCACCUAGGCGACGAUCCCUAGCUGGUCUGAGAGGAUGACCAGCCACACUGGAACUGAGACACGGUCCAGACUCCUACGGGAGGCAGCAGUGGGGAAUAUUGCACAAUGGGCGCAAGCCUGAUGCAGCCAUGCCGCGUGUGUGAAGAAGGCCUUCGGGUUGUAAAGCACUUUCAGCGAGGAGGAAGGUGGUGAGCUUAAUACGCUCAUCAAUUGACGUUACUCGCAGAAGAAGCACCGGCUAACUCCGUGCCAGCAGCCGCGGU